GCAAAAAUAAAACGAAAUUUAAACAGUUAUUUCUUCAAAUUGGUGAAAUAAGCAAUAAAAAACUACAGAUUUUCUUUCCCGAGAGUUUUUCAAUGGACGACAGAGGAUUUAUGAGAAUAACGAUGCCAGGCAGCAUAAAUCGACACCAACAAUCAUGGAGGACGUAUGUUUUGGAACGGAACCAUGUUACAGUGUGUUUAUUAUAGGCGGUAUUCAUAUUUUGUAAAAUUAUUUUCAAGGUAGAAUCAAAUAAAUUGCUGCAGUAUGUAUACUGAA
Armigeres subalbatus is the source of this 276-nucleotide long non-coding RNA. RefSeq lists it as uncharacterized. Lineage: Eukaryota; Metazoa; Arthropoda; Insecta; Diptera; Culicidae. The transcript has 2 exons. The record is from RefSeq and is a predicted model, not a curated record.